Andrographis paniculata is the source of this 251-nucleotide long non-coding RNA. RefSeq lists it as uncharacterized. NCBI's taxonomy places the organism in Eukaryota, Viridiplantae, Streptophyta, Magnoliopsida, Lamiales, Acanthaceae. The record is from RefSeq and is a predicted model, not a curated record. The transcript is spliced from 4 exons.
GGUUGGCCGAAAUUGUGAAGAAAAAACCAAGCGAGUAUUUCCUUUGAGGUACAGAUCACUGUAGCAAUGGAAUCAACUGGAGUUCCUUCAACAUCGAGGGAGUCUAUGGAGCUACAUUUAUCCCCGGAGGAAAAUACGCAUGGUUUAUCAACUACCAUGAUUGAAAAGAGAUGGAGAAUAUUCUUUACACUUCUCCAACGUAGUGAGCCCUUACAUUGCUACAUAUUGGAGAUGCAUAAGGUUGAAAGAGG